RNAcentral lists this ribosomal RNA (292 nucleotides) under uncultured bacterium. RNAcentral's name for it is "partial 16S ribosomal RNA". It matches the Rfam family "Bacterial small subunit ribosomal RNA", at positions 505 to 796 of the family's 1533-position model. The record is from RNAcentral.
GUGUCAGCCGCCGCGGUAAUACAGAGGGUGCAAGCGUUAAUCGGAAUUACUGGGCGUAAAGCGUGCGUAGUCGGUUAUCUAAGUCGGAUGUGAAAUCCCCGGGCUCAACCUGGGAAUUGCAUUCGAUACUGGAUAGCUAGAGUUCGGCAGAGGGAAGCGGAAUUUCGGGUGUAGCGGUGAAAUGCGUAGAUAUCCGAAGGAACAUCAGUGGCGAAAGCGGCUUCCUGGACCAGAACUGACGAUCAGGCACGAAAGCGUGGGGAGCAAACAGGAUUAGAAACCCCUGUAGUCC